Molecule: ribosomal RNA, 739 nt
Filed under: uncultured Pseudomonas sp.
Lineage: Bacteria; Pseudomonadati; Pseudomonadota; Gammaproteobacteria; Pseudomonadales; Pseudomonadaceae
Description: bacterial SSU rRNA
Rfam family: Bacterial small subunit ribosomal RNA
Source: RNAcentral
UGGCUCAGAUUGAACGCUGGCGGCAGGCCUAACACAUGCAAGUCGAGCGGCAGCACGGGUACUUGUACCUGGUGGCGAGCGGCGGACGGGUGAGUAAUGCCUAGGAAUCUGCCUGGUAGUGGGGGAUAACGUUCGGAAACGAACGCUAAUACCGCAUACGUCCUACGGGAGAAAGCAGGGGACCUUCGGGCCUUGCGCUAUCAGAUGAGCCUAAGUCGGAUUAGCUAGUUGGUGAGGUAAUGGCUCACCAAGGCGACGAUCCGUAACUGGUCUGAGAGGAUGAUCAGUCACACUGGAACUGAGACACGGUCCAGACUCCUACGGGAGGCAGCAGUGGGGAAUAUUGGACAAUGGGCGAAAGCCUGAUCCAGCCAUGCCGCGUGUGUGAAGAAGGUCUUCGGAUUGUAAAGCACUUUAAGUUGGGAGGAAGGGCAGUUACCUAAUACGUAAUUGUUUUGACGUUACCGACAGAAUAAGCACCGGCUAACUCUGUGCCAGCAGCCGCGGUAAUACAGAGGGUGCAAGCGUUAAUCGGAAUUACUGGGCGUAAAGCGCGCGUAGGUGGUUCGUUAAGUUGGAUGUGAAAUCCCCGGGCUCAACCUGGGAACUGCAUUCAAAACUGUCGAGCUAGAGUAUGGUAGAGGGUGGUGGAAUUUCCUGUGUAGCGGUGAAAUGCGUAGAUAUAGGAAGGAACACCAGUGGCGAAGGCGACCACCUGGACUGAUACUGACACUGAGGU